AUGGACUGGACCUGGAGGAUCCUCCUCUUGGUGGCAGCAGCAACAGGCGCCCACUCUGAGGUACAGCUGGUGCAGUCUGGGGCUGAGGUGAAGAAGCCUGGGGCCACCGUGAAAAUCUCCUGCAAGGCUUCUGGAUACACCUUCACCGACUACUACCUGCACUGGGUGCGACAGGCCCCUGGAAAAGGGCUUGAGUGGAUGGGACGUGUUGAUCCUGAAGAUGGUGAAGCAGACUACGCACAGAAGUUCCAGGACAGACUCACCAUGACUGCGGACACGUCUACAGACACAGCCUACAUGGAGCUGAGCAGCCUGAGAUCUGAGGACACGGCCGUGUAUUACUGUACGAGAGACACAGUGUGA
Molecule: non-coding RNA, 363 nt
Organism: Mandrillus leucophaeus (drill)
Lineage: Eukaryota; Metazoa; Chordata; Mammalia; Primates; Cercopithecidae
Source: the annotation of a RefSeq genome assembly